UCCAGACUCCUACGGGAGGCAGCAGUGGGGGAUAUUGCACAAUGGGGGGAACCCUGAUGCAGCGACGCCGCGUGGGUGAAGGAGCGUUUCGGCGCGUAAAGCCCUAUCGGCAGGGAAGAAGGAGGACGGUACCUGACUAAGAAGCCCCGGCUAACUACGUGCCAGCAGCCGCGGUAAUACGUAGGGGGCAAGCGUUAUCCGGAUUUACUGGGUGUAAAGGAAGCGUAGACGGCAUGGCAAGUCAGAUGUGAAAGCCCGGGGCUCAACCCCGGGACUGCAUUUGAAACUGUCAGGCUGGAGUGCAGGAGAGGUAAGUGGAAUUCCUAGUGUAGCGGUGAAAUGCGUAGAUAUUAGGAGGAACACCAGUGGCGAAGGCGGCUUACUGGACUGUAACUGACGUUGAGGCUCGAAAGCGUGGGGAGCAAACAGGAUUAGAUACCCGUGUAC
Molecule: ribosomal RNA, 447 nt
Filed under: uncultured bacterium
Lineage: Bacteria
Description: bacterial SSU rRNA
Rfam family: Bacterial small subunit ribosomal RNA
Source: RNAcentral